UUGCACUGAUGACAACUUAGGACACCUUUGGAUUCCCCAUGAAAACAAACUGUAAUAAAUCUGAGCAGC
This is a small nucleolar RNA of Platichthys flesus (European flounder), 69 nucleotides long. RefSeq annotates it as small nucleolar RNA SNORD58. The transcript has a single exon. NCBI's taxonomy places the organism in Eukaryota, Metazoa, Chordata, Actinopteri, Pleuronectiformes, Pleuronectidae. The record is from RefSeq and is a predicted model, not a curated record.